Molecule: ribosomal RNA, 447 nt
Filed under: uncultured bacterium
Lineage: Bacteria
Description: partial 16S ribosomal RNA
Rfam family: Bacterial small subunit ribosomal RNA
Source: RNAcentral
AACGAACGCUAUCGGUAUGCUUAACACAUGCAAGUCGGACGGACUAAUUAGGUCUUGCUCCAAUUAGUUAGUGGCAGACGGGUGAGUAACACGUGGGAAUCUGCCCAUCAGUACGGAAUAACUUUUAGAAAUAAAAGCUAAUACCGUAUAUUCUCUACAGAUGAAAGAUUUAUCGCUGAUGGAUGAGCCCGCGUCUGAUUAGGUAGUUGGUGAGGUAACGGCUCACCAAGCCGACGAUCUGUAGCUGGUCUGAGAGGAUGAUCAGCCACCCUGGGACUGAGACACGGCCCAGACUCCUACGGGAGGCAGCAGUCGGGAAUAUUAGACAACGGGCGCAAGCCUAAUACAGCAAUACCGAGUGAGUGAUACAGGCCCUAGGGUUGUAAAGCUCUUUUAGCAAGGAAGAUAAUGACGUUACUUGAAGAAAAAGCCCCGGCUAACUCCGUG